Molecule: ribosomal RNA, 274 nt
Filed under: uncultured bacterium
Lineage: Bacteria
Description: partial 16S ribosomal RNA
Rfam family: Bacterial small subunit ribosomal RNA
Source: RNAcentral
AUACGGAGGGUGCAAGCGUUACUCGGAAUCACUGGGCGUAAAGCGCGCGCAGGCGGCUAUUUAAGUUGGAUGUGAAAGCCUACGGCUCAACCGUAGAACUGCAUCCAAAACUAUUAGACUAGAGUGUGAGAGAGGAAGAUGGAAUUAGUUGUGUAGGGGUAAAAUCCGUAGAGAUAACUAGGAAUACCAAAAGCGAAGGCAAUCUUCUGGAACACUACUGACGCUGAGGCGCGAAAGCGUGGGGAGCAAACAGGAUUAGAAACCCUAGUAGUCC